UACGAAGGGGGCUAGCGUUGUUCGGAUUUACUGGGCGUAAAGCGCGUGUAGGCGGGUCGUUAAGUUGGGGGUGAAAUCCCGAGGCUCAACCUCGGAACUGCCUUCAAAACUGGCGGCCUGGAGCAAGAUAGAGGCGAGUGGAAUUCCGAGUGUAGAGGUGAAAUUCGUAGAUAUUCGGAGGAACACCAGUGGCGAAGGCGACUCGCUGGAUCUUUGCUGACGCUGAGACGCGAAAGCGUGGGGAGCAAACAGG
This 253-nucleotide ribosomal RNA is filed under the name uncultured bacterium. RNAcentral describes it as "partial 16S ribosomal RNA". It matches the Rfam family "Bacterial small subunit ribosomal RNA", at positions 524 to 776 of the family's 1533-position model. The record is from RNAcentral.